This 479-nucleotide ribosomal RNA is filed under the name Blastocystis sp. Its description in RNAcentral is "SSU rRNA". It matches the Rfam family "Eukaryotic small subunit ribosomal RNA", at positions 460 to 953 of the family's 1831-position model. The record is from RNAcentral. Lineage: Eukaryota; Bigyra; Opalinata; Blastocystidae.
GGAGGUAGUGACAAUAAAUCACAAUGCGGGACUCCUAGUCUUGCAAUUGGAUUGAGAACAACGUACAACUCUUAUCGAUAAGCCAUUGGAGGGCAAGUCUGGUGCCAGCAGCCGCGGUAAUUCCAGCUCCAAUAGCGUAUAUUAACGUUGUUGCAGUUAAAAAGCUCGUAGUUGAAGUGAGGGAGUGUGUAGUAGGACCGACUUGAUCGGAACUGCUGCAACCUCCCCCCUCCAAUCGGUGUAGUGGGGUAUUCAGUUAUUUCACUACUCCUUUGGUCGUUUACUGUGAGAAAAUUAGAGUGUUCAAAGCGGGCGUUUGUUUGAAUAGAUUAGCAUGGAAUAAUGAUUGAAGGCUUUCGUGUUCGAUUUGAUUGGUUUGUUCAUGGAAGCAAGGUUAAAAGGAACAGUUGGGGGUAUUCAUAUUCACUAGUUAGAGGUGAAAUUCUCGGAUUUAUGGAAGAUGAACAAGUGCGAAAGCA